AGCGAGAGAACUCUCGUUAAGGAACUCGGCAAAAUGACCCCGUAACUUCGGGAGAAGGGGUGCUCUUGCGGGUGCAAGCCUGCGAGAGCCGCAGUGAAUAGGCCCAGGCGACUGUUUAGCAAAAACACAGGUCUCUGCGAAGCCGCAAGGCGAAGUAUAGGGGCUGACACCUGCCCGGUGCUGGAAGGUUAAGAGGAGGGGUUAGCACGUUAGUGCGAAGCUCUGAAUUGAAGCCCCAGUAAACGGCGGCCGUAACUAUAACGGUCCUAAGGUAGCGAAAUUCCUUGUCGGGUAAGUUCCGACCCGCACGAAAGGUGUAACGAUCUGGGCACUGUCUCAACGAGAGACUCGGUGAAAUUAUAGUACCUGUGAAGAUGCAGGUUACCCGCGACAGGACGGAAAGACCCCGUGGAGCUUUACUGCAGCCUGAUAUUGAAUUUUGGUACAGCGUGUACAGGAUAGGUA
This 465-nucleotide ribosomal RNA is filed under the name Niallia circulans. RNAcentral describes it as "bacterial LSU rRNA". It matches the Rfam family "Bacterial large subunit ribosomal RNA", at positions 1689 to 2149 of the family's 2925-position model. Lineage: Bacteria; Bacillati; Bacillota; Bacilli; Caryophanales; Bacillaceae. The record is from RNAcentral.